GAUGAACGCUGGCGGCGUGCCUAAUACAUGCAAGUCGAGCGAACAGAUAAGGAGCUUGCUCCUUUGACGUUAGCGGCGGACGGGUGAGUAACACGUGGGUAACCUACCUAUAAGACUGGAAUAACUCCGGGAAACCGGGGCUAAUGCCGGAUAACAUUUAGAACCGCAUGGUUCUAAAGUGAAAGAUGGUUUUGCUAUCACUUAUAGAUGGACCCGCGCCGUAUUAGCUAGUUGGUAAGGUAACGGCUUACCAAGGCAACGAUACGUAGCCGACCUGAGAGGGUGAUCGGCCACACUGGAACUGAGACACGGUCCAGACUCCUACGGGAGGCAGCAGUAGGGAAUCUUCCGCAAUGGGCGAAAGCCUGACGGAGCAACGCCGCGUGAGUGAUGAAGGUCUUCGGAUCGUAAAACUCUGUUAUUAGGGGAGAACAAAUGUGUAAGUAACUGUGCACGUCUUGACGGUACCUAAUCAGAAAGCCACGGCUAACUACGUG
RNAcentral lists this ribosomal RNA (497 nucleotides) under uncultured bacterium. RNAcentral's name for it is "partial 16S ribosomal RNA". It matches the Rfam family "Bacterial small subunit ribosomal RNA", at positions 28 to 507 of the family's 1533-position model. The record is from RNAcentral.